This is a long non-coding RNA of Mesocricetus auratus (golden hamster), 1065 nucleotides long. RefSeq lists it as uncharacterized. The record is from RefSeq and is a predicted model, not a curated record. NCBI's taxonomy places the organism in Eukaryota, Metazoa, Chordata, Mammalia, Rodentia, Cricetidae. The transcript has 3 exons.
GCCCGGCCUCAGCUCCCUGCGUCCUCUCGCGGCGAUGGGAACGGCCGGGGAAGGGCGGCGAGUGGCGGUGGCGAAGCGGUCCCGCCGGGAGUCGGGCGACUCUGGACCCCGCGCCCGCGAAGCCCUCCCCCUUGGGCCCGAGGGGCGGGGCGCGCGCAGGGGGGCGGAGCCGUAGCUGGAUGGUCGGCCACGCCUCCGUGACGCCCGUCCCGGGCCGCGGUGAGUGGCGCGGUUUCUAGGUCUCUGGGGCAACGGAGGCCUGGGCUGCCCCGGCAGAUGAGUGGGGCCGAGGGACGCCACGGGAAGCGGAAAGGGGACCCCGGGCUGCGCGCUCCCCGCUCCCACGAGCGCGCGCGUGCCUGCGUGUCAAAGACCCUUGGCCGCAGCUGCUGCGGCACCUCUUGCCAAGUGCCUGCCUUCCUGGCAGUUUCCGAAGUGACCUCUCCUGCGAGCUGGCAGUGCCGCUGCUCACUUCCAAGGCUGUCUGGCGACUCUAGGGGAGGAGUUCUUGUUCAGUUUAGAGGGUAGACGUGCCUUCCCAGAGAGCUAGGUCUCCCAAUGUGUUCUUCACAGCCGGACCGUUUAGGAACCCAGGGAAUUGCCUGUGAAGUGCCACUCUUCAGAAAGUGUCCCUUCUCAGUCCCUAGUCCUUUACUGAGUGCCAAGCACUGUGUCGGGGUACAGUGGAAAAGAUCCCAGGAAGACCUUUGUUUAAGGGUUCCUGUUACCAGGGGACCCAUUUUCUCUGCCUAUAGACUGAUGACUGAAUGCUAGAACAAGGGUUCCAGAAGCCUUGAAUUCUUCAGUCACCUUUUUAUCAAGUAAACAUAUAUACCAGGCAAGACUGCAGCCAGUAUGGAACAACCUUAUCUCCUGUUUCCUGUAUCUCUAAGUCCUUCCACAGCAUGGGUCCUGGAACUCUGACUCAUGGUGAGUAGAGAAAGCAUUGCCAGACCCACAGACACAGAACAGCUUUAUUAUGGUCUGACCUCUCAGAUGGAGAAGCUCCAUGUGCUUCUUAUAUACAGCUGAACAUGUAGGUGAGGUUAUUACACACAGAUAAUA